This 200-nucleotide ribosomal RNA is filed under the name uncultured bacterium. Its description in RNAcentral is "partial 16S ribosomal RNA". It matches the Rfam family "Bacterial small subunit ribosomal RNA", at positions 28 to 227 of the family's 1533-position model. The record is from RNAcentral.
GAUGAACGCUAGCGGCAGGCCUAAUACAUGCAAGUCGAGGGGCAGCACGGUAGCAAUACUGGUGGCGACCGGCGCACGGGUGCGUAACACGUAUGCAACCUGCCUUCAACAGGGAGAUAGCCCGGGGAAACUCGGAUUAAUAUCCCAUAACACAUUUGGUCAGCAUUGAUUGAUUGUUAAAGCUCCGGCGGUUGAAGAUG